Molecule: long non-coding RNA, 1328 nt
Filed under: Capra hircus (goat)
Lineage: Eukaryota; Metazoa; Chordata; Mammalia; Artiodactyla; Bovidae
Description: lncRNA (ENSCHIG00000005616.1)
Source: RNAcentral
UAUGUCAAGGGCACCAGCUAAAUUAUUUCUUAACCACCUGACUUAUAAGAGACUUCAACUCUGGCCCUCCGACACAAGCAAGAGCAUUUCAGGCAGCCAGGAUCAGUUCCAACAACUAUUUCUGAGUUUAUAUCACAGAUCUACUUGGGCGACUGGAAAAAAAGGAAACGAAAUGUGGGAUGUUCACCUCGAUAAGCAAUCCCACAAGCAAGAAAAGCAGAGAAGUCUGCUCAGGAAACCAAAUGAAGAUCAAGCUGACUGGUGCUGAAGGGCAAAGUCUAGUUUUGAAACACACAGGAAGGAAAAUGUCAGUCUUACUGUAGACGAGCUAAAGAGGGACCUCCGUCCGGAGCACAUACGACCCCCGCCCUCAUGUUUCGGGGCAGUCGUGGAGACAAAGGUGCGGGCACACGCACGUUACGCACUCACGCAAUACACGCACGUUACGCACUCACGCAACGCACACACGUUACGCACACACGUUACGCACGCUGUCCGCUAGGGGAGGACACUCAGAGGAGUGGGUUCUCUGGGCAGCUGUCGUUUUCAAGGCCGUCUCCUCCCUUUCCUCCCCAUUUAAAAGAAAGGAGGUAAAAACAUUCUUUAAUGAAAUACAAUUUGCUAAAAGAACACAGUAAAAUGUAUGCAGAGAAAAAUAAAUAAAUAAAACGUGGCUUCACAGGCAACUCAAAGUACGAAAUCUGAGGACUAAACCCCACACUGGAGUUUUCUGUGACGGCAGAAAAGCUUCAAGGCUGUGCUUCCUUGGAGGAGCUCCCCGGGAAGCUGCGGUCCGGUCCCCCCAGCCAGCCAGUGGUGAGCAGUCUUGCCGGCUCUGGGCAUCAAAGCAGCGCCCAGCUCACUCUGCGUCCAACCUGCUCCUCACGAAACCUACCGACGGAUGAGCAAUCAAAGAGGGGAAAUGGAAAGAUGUGGAGUCAGAGGGGUUUCCCCGGUGGCAGAGUGGUGAAGGACCCGCCUGCCAAUGCACGAUACGCGGGUUUGAUCCCUGGGUCAGGAAGAUCCCCUGGAGGAGGGCAUAGCAACCCACGCCAGUAUUCUUGCCUAGAGACUCCCAUGGACAGAGGAGCCUGGUGGGCUGCAGUCCAUGGGGUCACAGAGAGUCGGACACAACUGAGCGACUAAGCGUGCACACACAUGAGGGUCCAUGCGCUCAGUCUGACCUGGAGGCUGUAGGUUGGCAAUAAUGAUGAAGUGGUUAAUGAUAAAGCCAGAGCAACUGAAUUGCCUUGAAUCUAAAACUAGCUAGGAGUGUGACCUCAGUGAACUUCCCGAGGCUUCUAUAUCCUCAUCAAGAAAACAAGGAC